AGCUGACCAGAAUUUCACCAGGGUGACAUGACAGUUUGUUGCUAAGGAACUGAAGACUAUGUCAUAAGUGAGCAUUCUGAUGAAGAGGAGUGAACAGUUUGCAGCAGACUGGAUAUUAAGUAUAAAUCAGCUCUCUGUGUAUGUCCCUGUGUGGUGGUAUAACUGAAAACAGGUAGGGUUCCUGAUGGGAUUGGGUUCCACCAAUCAGAGCCACUUGCAUGAGACCUCAACUGAGAGCCAGGAUCCAAGCAGCUUCCAUAAGCUGAGGUGAGGGGCAGCAGCCACUUCCUCUCUGGAGAGCCAGGAAGGACACCUCCUCUCACUCCCUGGAAACAGAACAGCAGGCUGCUGACCUUCACCCGGCCACCAGUGCUCCACCCUGAACUCAAGAUUCCAGGAUGCAAGACAGAGGCUUCAGGAGGAGAGAGAUUUCUCCUUGGAAAGCUGGAAGAGCUGAAAGGAGAGUAGGAGAUGGAACCACUGGACAGUAGUGACAUGGUUAAGUGGAGUCUGAGCCAUUCACUCGGAAAAACAAGCAAUCAUCAGAAUAAUGGGUAUGAAGACAGUGCAAUGACAAGGGAAGUGCUGCUGAGAUUGACUGACAGAUGACAACAGGAUAAGAAACUGAAUGUGCAAGAUGUGCCCCUCUCCCCCUACCAAGAAUAGAAGCUC
Long non-coding RNA from Gorilla gorilla gorilla (western lowland gorilla), 672 nucleotides. RefSeq lists it as uncharacterized. Lineage: Eukaryota; Metazoa; Chordata; Mammalia; Primates; Hominidae. The transcript has 4 exons. The record is from RefSeq and is a predicted model, not a curated record.